Molecule: small nucleolar RNA, 108 nt
Organism: Rhododendron vialii
Lineage: Eukaryota; Viridiplantae; Streptophyta; Magnoliopsida; Ericales; Ericaceae
Product: small nucleolar RNA snoR100
Exons: 1
Source: RefSeq, a predicted model, not a curated record
GGAUGUCAGGAAGCAUGGUAAUGUGCACAGAAAUUGAUUUGGAUCUCUAGGCCUGCCCUUUCUGAUGCUGUCGGCUUUGAUUUAGGGGCAUGGUUUCGCAGUAAAACG